GAGCUAGCACAAGUUGAAUUCACCAAAUAGAAGACAUUGGAAAUGAGACCCGAGGGUUGGAGGAGGAGGAAGCCUGCAAUGUGAACACGAUGGCUGGAGCUCCGGCAGCCAUUCUGGACCAGGAGGUAGCCUUGAAGAUGGAAGCCACAUGUUGGGAUGGUGAAUCCAAAAGAUGAGGAGCCUGUAUCCCCUGUGACACCAGAACUGCCAUACCAGCCCUGGGUUCCUCCAUCUAUACUGCCUUCAUAUGGUAAAGAAAUAUUCUUGGAUCUUGUUAGGUGUCUGUUGCAGCCAAACACAAUCCCAACUGAUAUUCACUGUAAAUGAUUCCAUGGC
Molecule: long non-coding RNA, 336 nt
Filed under: Homo sapiens (human)
Lineage: Eukaryota; Metazoa; Chordata; Mammalia; Primates; Hominidae
Description: non-protein coding RCAN3AS:12
Source: RNAcentral